Molecule: ribosomal RNA, 492 nt
Filed under: uncultured bacterium
Lineage: Bacteria
Description: partial 16S ribosomal RNA
Rfam family: Bacterial small subunit ribosomal RNA
Source: RNAcentral
AGUGAACGCUGGCGGUAGGCCUAACACAUGCAAGUCGAACGGCAGCACAGUAAGAGCUUGCUCUUACGGGUGGCGAGUGGCGGACGGGUGAGGAAUACAUCGGAAUCUACUUUUUCGUGGGGGAUAACGUAGGGAAACUUACGCUAAUACCGCAUACGACCUACGGGUGAAAGCAGGGGAUCUUCGGACCUUGCGCGAUUGAAUGAGCCGAUGUCGGAUUAGCUAGUUGGCGGGGUAAAGGCCCACCAAGGCGACGAUCCGUAGCUGGUCUGAGAGGAUGAUCAGCCACAGUGGAACUGAGCCACGGUCCAGACUCCUACGGGAGGCAGCAGUGGGGAAUAUUGGACAAUGGGCGCAAGCCUGAACCAGCCAUACCGCGUGGGUGAAGAAGGCCUUCGGGUUGUAAAGCCCUUUUGUUGGGAAAGAAAAGCAGCAGGUUAAUACCCCGCUGUUCUGACGGUACCCAAAGAAUAAGCACCGGCUAACUUCGUG